AACGGCCGCGGUAUCCUGACCGUGUGAAGGUAGCGUAAUCACUUGUCUUUUAAAUGAAGACCCGUAUGAAUGGCUUAACGAAGGCUUAACUGUCUCAUUCUUUCGGUCAAUGAAAUUGAUUUUCCCGUGCAGAAGCGGGAAUAAAACCAUAAGACGAAAAGACCCUGUGGAGCUUUAGAUCAUAAUAGCAUAAUUACAAUAUUUUACUCUAUUUACAUCUUCGGUUGGGGCGACCACGGAAAAAAUCUAACUUCCACUAGGUAAAUACAUAUUUUAUAGUUAAGAAUGACACCUCAAAACUUUAGAACUUCUAACCCUUGAUCCGGUUCACCGAUUAACGAAACAAGUUACCCCAGGGAUAACAGCGCAAUCUCCUUUUAGAGUCCAUAUCGACAAGGAGGCUUACGACCUCGAUGUUGGAUCAGGCAUCCUAAU
Molecule: ribosomal RNA, 435 nt
Filed under: Notholebias minimus
Lineage: Eukaryota; Metazoa; Chordata; Actinopteri; Cyprinodontiformes; Rivulidae
Description: Leptolebias minimus partial 16S ribosomal RNA
Rfam family: Bacterial large subunit ribosomal RNA
Source: RNAcentral